UCUGCCUACUAGAAUUACUGGUAACAGGUGAAAAAUAACUUCUUUUCAGUAUGGGAAGGACACACUCGGUACUGCUGGGUUUGGAAAGAACCAGUCAAAGCAGUGUUGGCUUCCUGAAUCAAACAACACCACAGUACCUAUUUCUCCUGGGAGAGGUAGUGUUACAGCUCUUGGAUGUGACAGUGGUAUCUGAUUGUUCCCAGCUGCCGAUCCUUUGUCAGCAGAUUCCUACGCAUGGGGUCACUGAUAAAAAUGUUAAAUAAAACUGGCCCCAGUAUUGAACGCUUUGGAACACCACCAGUGACCAGCUACCAACUGGACUGAACUCUGUUCACCUUGAGAGCAGCAAUCCAGACAGUAUUUCACACAGUAAACUUCACGUCUGUCCAAGCUAUGAGCAGCCAGUUUCUCCACAAGAAUGCUGUUGGUGUUACUUUACUAAAAUCCAGUUCACAGAAAGCUGGGUCCCUGAUGUCAGCCACCUCCUGUGCCACCCUUCCAGACCUGAGAUGAAGGAGGCUGAAUAACA
Molecule: long non-coding RNA, 529 nt
Organism: Gallus gallus (chicken)
Lineage: Eukaryota; Metazoa; Chordata; Aves; Galliformes; Phasianidae
Source: Ensembl